RNAcentral lists this ribosomal RNA (347 nucleotides) under uncultured bacterium. RNAcentral describes it as "bacterial SSU rRNA". It matches the Rfam family "Bacterial small subunit ribosomal RNA", at positions 29 to 372 of the family's 1533-position model. The record is from RNAcentral.
AACGAACGUUGGCGGCGUGGAUUAGGCAUGCAAGUCGAAUGAAUCCCAUCUGGGUAACUGGGUGGGGGAAAUGGCGAAAGGGGCAGUAAGGCAUGGGCAACCUACCCCGGGGACGGGGAUAGCUCUUCUAACGAGGAGGUAAUACCUGGCGAUUCGGCGAGGAGGCAUCUCUUUGCCGGGAAACGAGUUUCGCCUCGGGAGGGGCUCAUGUAGUAUUAGCUAGUUGGUAAGGUAACGGCUUACCAAGGCAAAGAUGCUUAGCGGGUGUGAGAGCACGACCCGCGCCACUGGCACUGAGACACUGGCCAGACUCCUACGGGAGGCUGCAGUCGAGGAUCUUCGGCAAU